GAGAGAGUGUCAGUGUGAUAUUUCCCUGUAUGUGAUGUGUCCUCGAGGUUCAACAUAGGUUGUGUGUGUGUCACAUCGAUCUAUCGAUCACAUCGAGCGUCCGGAAUAGGUUCUCUUCUCUGGUUCGCUUGGCUACCUCGCGGACGGCCGCCUUGAGCAGAGCCGCCGCAAGCGGCCGUGGUGCGGUGCACUGCGGCCGGCACGGCGGUACCAGAGGUGUCGUAAGGCACGACGUCGGCUGAGGCUGCGGCAAACCCGGGCGAAGGACGGCGGGGAGCUCGACCACUGGGGGCUCGGCGUCAGUUUUUUCCUGUACAAGAAUGCGGAGAACCUGCCGGGGCAGGAGGAGGCUCUGUCCGAGUACCUGUACUGAUACACCGACCUGUCCCUCUGGAAGCGGUUUACGAUGUACGACAGGCGCGCCUUCGACAAGUAGCGCAGCUCGGUGUACGGCGUCGUGACCUCGACCUAGGGAGAGAGGCUGAGGUACAAGCGCGAGCAAUAGUCAAACUAUCAGAACUUUUCUUAUUAACGGACCAAUUCCGAGACAAGCCGUUAGGAGGCGAGGAAGCGGUCCCUCGCCUCGACCGCCUCGUGGGGAAGCCUGCGAGCGGUUUUAACUUGACAUGCGGCGAGGCGAGGCGCCGCCUCAAUGUCUCACCUCACUAAGGCUUGCCGGAGAUUCUCAUGGUUCAAGAGACUUCCCCGAGUUGAUUUGUCACACUGUACCAACCUUUAGUCACCUUCGUAUGUGUGGCUGUACGAGUGGGGUCUGAGGUUCAUGCCCCGAAUGGAGCACAAAUUCUCCUGGGUUUUAAAGUCACCCAAGUUAAUAGGUUAGGUCUUCCGGUGCGAGAUGAAACCUGUUUAUUACCUUAUAUGGUCAGGCCAAGAGGAACCACUCUUAACCUGCGGCGGCGGUCUUGACCCACAUCGAGUCGGAGUCGCGUCUCGGCUGCCAACCUACCUCUAUAGCGACCCAGUGAAGGUGUGCUCGCCCUUAGGUAAGAUACGACACUACAGGAAGUCGGACUACCUCUGCCUUCCUCUUCACUGUGUCUUCGCACCAGAGUAGCACGUACCGUAACUCUAGUCUGCACUCUUUAGUCCUACUUGCGUGGAUGAAGAUAAAUUGAAUGAAAGUUUUCGUUCCCGUAGUGAUAAAAUAAUCAUGAGCUAUAACAUGAGUAUCACGAUUAUAUGUAGAGAUAAGUUUUUUAUUUAUUCUUCUGUCUCUGGUAACCCCUUAAUACAUAAAAGUAAUCAAUACACCCUCUCAAUGUUACUC
This 1288-nucleotide ribosomal RNA is filed under the name Triticum aestivum (bread wheat). RNAcentral describes it as "partial small subunit ribosomal RNA". Lineage: Eukaryota; Viridiplantae; Streptophyta; Magnoliopsida; Poales; Poaceae. The record is from RNAcentral.